Molecule: ribosomal RNA, 253 nt
Filed under: uncultured bacterium
Lineage: Bacteria
Description: partial 16S ribosomal RNA
Rfam family: Bacterial small subunit ribosomal RNA
Source: RNAcentral
UACAGAGGGGGCAAGCGUUAUUCGGAAUUAUUGGGCGUAAAGGGCGCGUAGGCGGCCUUUCAAGUGACGGGUGAAAUCCCUCGGCUUAACCGAGGAACUGCCUGUCAGACUGGAAGGCUUGAGACCGGGAGAGGUGAGUGGAAUUCCCAGUGUAGCGGUGAAAUGCGUAGAUAUCUGGAGGAACACCGGUGGCGAAGGCGGGUCUCUGGGCCGAUACUGACGCUGAGGAGCGAAAGCGUGGGGAGCGAACAGG